GGCAGGGCCAGAGAGACACGCCAAGGAGCUACUUAUGCGUCUGGAGCCCUGUCCUGGGGAGCCGCUGAACAGAAUCUGCCUUUGUCCACACUUUACUUUACGCGGCUUAGAGAUGCUCACGGUUGCGGGAGGGAGAUCUGGUUGGCUGCAACUCUGUAAUCCCUCCCCAAGAAGAACAACAGCUGAACCUCAUCACGACCCUGUGUUUCGUGUGUCGAUUCUUGCAUUAGUGACGUGACAUUUAUUUGCUUGGUGAGCUUCUACCUGCAAGGUUAACAAGGUCAGUGCAUGUCAAAAGCAGUUAUUUUCAUUUGAGAUUUAUUUCCCUAUGGAUAGCCUUAAGAUAUUCAAGUUACUAAUGAGGGCAUUGAAGUUAGGGCUAAGUAUAUUAUUAGGAGAAACAUAACUACCUGGAGAAUAGCCAUGAUACAUAUUUCAGCCACAUCAAACCCCUUUUAGGAAGGCAGGAAGUGUAAGUAUAGGGGUGUGUGUGUGUGUGUGUGCACAUGUGUGUAUGAGAGAGAGAGAGAGAGAGAGAGAGAGAGAGAAAUUGGACUCCUGUGUGUAUUCGUGAACACAAAACCAAGGGUAUAUACUUUAUUUUUUUGAUGUUUUGGUCUUUCUCUAAGAGAGUUCUGUUGGUUUUUACCCUAUUCUAGCACUAAUUGUAAUCUGUCUAAAAUUAUAAGAUAAUUUUAUUCUUAUCCACCCGGUUUGAUCUAAAUAGGUCUGUCUACGUCACUAGACGGUACAACACUCCGAGGUGAAAGUGCCACUUGGGAAUAUGUAUAUCCCUCAUUUCACCCCUUCACAGCCUCCUUCUCUGUCUUUCGCAGUUUUGACUCACAUCUUGUAAACAUUCCAGCUUGAAACACUAUGAGUGGUGCUUCUCUAACUUCUGUGCACCCAGAGAGGAGGUCUCAGUUCUGUGGAGAUCCGGACUCAGGAGGUCUGGGGUGGGGUCCUGCUCCUUUCUCACAAAUGAGCUGGUCACACUGAUGCUGCUCAGCUGUGGGUCACGUUUGCAGGAGCAAAGGUCUGGAAUGUUUCCACUCUGGGCUCCUGAUUAGCUCAGAUCCAUUUCUACCAAGACAAUGAAAUCAUUCAUGAAAAAAAAAAAAAAGAGUGUAAUUGUUUGGGAUAAGAUUUGAAUUCAUUACGUUUGGGUGUUAAUAUGACUUAAAAAUAAUUCUACCAAGAUUCACAUGUGAUUGUCAGGGUACUUCCCUUCCAAACAAUGACCAACUAUUUUUCCAACAUGUAAACUCUGCUUUUAGAAUUGUCCACAGGAACUGGAAGAUGAGGAUGUGCUUGCUCAUUCACUCCUGUUACGAUUCAACAAUAAUAAAGAAGUGCCUAAAAUAUCCUAAGCACUGUAGUAAUGACUGUGGGGAGGCUGACAUCCUUAAGUGUGCUGGGAGGCCCAAGAGGGCACAAGUUGCAAGCAAACGAUUGUUUGAAUAAAUAAAUUAAAUAAAUAAAAACAUGUGUGCUUUGAGUGUGUCUUUUCUUAAAUCAAAUGAGAGCCACCGAGGCUUAAAUUUGGUAUCCAGUCUGAAAAUGCAGUUUCUGACCGAAAAUGUACGUCUAUCAAGUAAUGGAACUUAUUUUUCUUGAAUAUCUUAUAACUGAAUCAGCAUGAACUUAGAGCUAUGUUAGGAAUGGCAUUUAUGGAAUAUGUUCAUAGUGCCCCAAAAUAUCUUCUUUAAAAAAAUCUAUCCAUGAGUAGCAGUAUAAUUAUGGAUAAAUUAACUCCAUUACUUCUUACUUAGAUGUAUUUACCUAACAACCUAUGGAUUUGGAUGUAUGCAUGUCCGCACACACACAUAUCAUGUCUUAUAACAAAUGUAAUAAUACUUAAUUGUUCAUUGAGUAUAGUGCUGGUUUAUACAAAUAAAAGCCUAACCUUCAGUAAUUCCUAACCCACACCUCAUAUAUAGCUUAAAAGUGAGUAACCAUAUAAUUUACUAUCUAAAUCCAGAUACUUUGAGCGUGGAAAGCAGCACUAUUAAUAGUUACCCUGGGAUAAGAGGCAUAAAUGGGGACUAUUCUGGGGAAACCAGGACAAAGAUCAUCUAACAGAAAGGCAGAAAAAAAAACAAACCACUAAAUAAAAACAUUCUCUGGUCUUUCAGUUUUUCCGAAUUAAGUUCUUAAAACAUUGCAUUUUUUUCUGAGUGUAUUUGAUAAAGUUCUGUCUGUAUUUCAGGAAAAUGAUGCUGUUGGGGAAGUUCCUACUGUUUAUCGGUCCUAAGGAAUGAAUUUUGUCCCAAAUUAGGGGUACUGGGGCUUUCUGUAGGCAAAACUGGUAUUUUGGAAACAAUAAAAAGGCUUGAUAGGGU
RNAcentral lists this long non-coding RNA (2342 nucleotides) under Capra hircus (goat). RNAcentral's name for it is "lncRNA (ENSCHIG00000005600.1)". The record is from RNAcentral. Lineage: Eukaryota; Metazoa; Chordata; Mammalia; Artiodactyla; Bovidae.